GUGUGGGGCCAAGCUAGCAUGCCCGAGAAGAAACCUUCUGGAAACAUAUUUGGUUAUGACUUAAGGAGAAAUUCCAAUGGGGGAAGCGCUCAAUAGACGGUUCCCAAAUAUCCCCAAGGAAUGCCUCCACUGUGGAAUAACAAAAACUGUUCGCCACCUUUCCUUUGAUUGCAUUAGGGCUGUGGAAGUAUGGUUACACUCCCUACUCAGGCUCUGUCAUCUUUAUUCCGUGGAUCUUGUUUGCGGGAUUUUUGGGAUGAAUUAAUGGCUUAUUUACAAGUAAGUAAUGCCAACAAAUAUCUUUGGACGCACUUGUUAUUCAUUCUCUAUCAUAUCUGGAAAGGGCAAAAUGCCUUUAUCUUCAAAAUCAGUGCCAACUUUUCUGGAGGUUUUAAGUUCGGCAGAGUUACAUAUGGAAGAUUUUCAGGAGCUCAAGAGCUUCAGAGGCAUCCUCCCGAGCAGCCAUUAAAUCAAGAUUGGUCCUGCCUCCAGAGAACUUCAUAGAGAUAAACUUCGAUGCCGCUGUGUGCAGAAAAAGGAAUAGGGGAGCUACAACAGGCAUCGCUCGAGAUCACAGGGCUGGUCCUGCAAGCGUCAUAUGAACAUCACUGAUCCUUUAGUGCUAGAAGCUGUUGCUGCCCGGGAUGCAAUCUGUUUGGCUAAGUCUCUAGGUUUUAGACUCAUGUAAAUUGAGGGAGACUCCAAAAUAGUGAUAAAAAGCGUUAUUGGGAGGUCAAAAACCACUCUCAGCACCACUCUCAGCGGAAGGCAU
RNAcentral lists this unclassified non-coding RNA (772 nucleotides) under Hevea brasiliensis (rubber tree). The record is from RNAcentral. Lineage: Eukaryota; Viridiplantae; Streptophyta; Magnoliopsida; Malpighiales; Euphorbiaceae.